This 253-nucleotide ribosomal RNA is filed under the name uncultured bacterium. RNAcentral's name for it is "partial 16S ribosomal RNA". It matches the Rfam family "Bacterial small subunit ribosomal RNA", at positions 524 to 776 of the family's 1533-position model. The record is from RNAcentral.
UACGGGGGGGGCAAGCGUUGUUCGGAAUUACUGGGCGUAAAGGGCUCGUAGGUGGCCAAUUAAGUCAGACGUGAAACCCCCAAGCUUAACUUGGGAACUGCGUCUGAUACUGAGUGGCUUGAAUUCGGGAGAGGGAUGCAGAAUUCCAGGUGUAGCGGUGAAAUGCGUAGAUAUCUGGAGGAAUACCGGUGGCGAAGGCGGCAUCCUGGACCGAGAUUGACACUGAGGAGCGAAAGCCAGGGGAGCAAACGGG